AGAAUCAACGCUGGCGGCGUGCCUAACACAUGCAAGUCGAACGAGAAAGUGGGAGCAAUCCCACGAGUAAAGUGGCGCACGGGUGAGUAACACGUGGCUAACCUACCCUUGAGUGGGGGAUAACCUAGGGAAACCUGGGCUAAUACCGCAUAAUACCUACGGGUCAAAGGAGCAAUUCGCUUAAGGAGGGGUCGCGGCAGAUUAGUUAGUUGGCGGGGUAAUGGCCCACCAAGACAGUGAUCUGUAU
RNAcentral lists this ribosomal RNA (247 nucleotides) under uncultured bacterium. RNAcentral's name for it is "partial small subunit ribosomal RNA". It matches the Rfam family "Bacterial small subunit ribosomal RNA", at positions 26 to 286 of the family's 1533-position model. The record is from RNAcentral.